CAGUCGCGUUCUCUGGGAUUCAGCCUUGCUUCUUGCUUGGUGCAUUUCCUAGUCUACGGGCCAGCAUGAAUCUUGAGCGGUGGAAAAGGGUUUGGGGAAUGUGGCACCUCCGGGUGUGUUAUAGCCUUUGGUAGACGUGAUGAUUGGGAUUGAGGAUUGCAACGGAUACCCUUCGGGCUACCUGUCUGAUCUCUGAAGGUUGCUCCGGUGCCGAAAGCGUGCUUAUGGUCAUCGAAAGUGAUUUUCAAAAGGUUAGAACGGGUUAAAUUCGUUAAGGAUGUUGACGUAAUGG
Molecule: ribosomal RNA, 292 nt
Filed under: Glomus sp. (unid)
Lineage: Eukaryota; Fungi; Glomeromycota; Glomeromycetes; Glomerales; Glomeraceae
Source: RNAcentral